CCUACGGGGGGCAGCAGUGGGGAAUAUUGGACAAUGGGGGGAACCCUGAUCCAGCCAUGCCGCGUGUGUGAAGAAGGCCCUCGGGUUGUAAAGCACUUUCAGUGAGGAAGAACGCCUGGUGGUUAAUACCCAACAGGAAAGACAUCACUCACAGAAGAAGCACCGGCUAACUCCGUGCCAGCAGCCGCGGUAAUACGGAGGGUGCGAGCGUUAAUCGGAAUUACUGGGCGUAAAGCGCGCGUAGGUGGCUUGAUAAGCCGGUUGUGAAAGCCCCGGGCUCAACCUGGGAACGGCAUCCGGAACUGUCAAGCUAGAGUGCAGGAGAGGAAGGUAGAAUUCCCGGUGUAGCGGUGAAAUGCGUAGAGAUCGGGAGGAAUACCAGUGGCGAAGGCGGCCUUCUGGACUGACACUGACACUGAGGUGCGAAAGCGUGGGUAGCAAACAGGAUUAGAUACCCUGGUAGUC
Molecule: ribosomal RNA, 465 nt
Filed under: Vreelandella stevensii
Lineage: Bacteria; Pseudomonadati; Pseudomonadota; Gammaproteobacteria; Oceanospirillales; Halomonadaceae
Description: partial 16S ribosomal RNA
Rfam family: Bacterial small subunit ribosomal RNA
Source: RNAcentral